This 171-nucleotide unclassified non-coding RNA is filed under the name uncultured Basidiomycota. RNAcentral's name for it is "sequence contains ITS1". The record is from RNAcentral. Lineage: Eukaryota; Fungi; Basidiomycota.
UCGAAUUCACUCGCAGCUGUUGCAUCACUUUGCACGCCGCGCUUGUCUUCAUUCACACCUGUGCACCUUGUGCGGACUUGGCUCGCGCCUCGUCUGCCUUUUUUUACACCUUUUUUGUAUGGCCUUGAAUUUAUUCGGUCGCUCUGUGAUGGAGCGGUCGUAGAAAAAAAU